RNAcentral lists this ribosomal RNA (975 nucleotides) under Pseudomonas aeruginosa. RNAcentral's name for it is "bacterial LSU rRNA". It matches the Rfam family "Bacterial large subunit ribosomal RNA", at positions 1956 to 2925 of the family's 2925-position model. The record is from RNAcentral. Lineage: Bacteria; Pseudomonadati; Pseudomonadota; Gammaproteobacteria; Pseudomonadales; Pseudomonadaceae.
GUAGCGAAAUUCCUUGUCGGGUAAGUUCCGACCUGCACGAAUGGCGUAACGAUGGCGGCGCUGUCUCCACCCGAGACUCAGUGAAAUUGAAAUCGCUGUGAAGAUGCAGUGUAUCCGCGGCUAGACGGAAAGACCCCGUGAACCUUUACUGUAGCUUUGCACUGGACUUUGAGCCUGCUUGUGUAGGAUAGGUGGGAGGCUUUGAAGCGUGGACGCCAGUUCGCGUGGAGCCAUCCUUGAAAUACCACCCUGGCAUGCUUGAGGUUCUAACUCUGGUCCGUAAUCCGGAUCGAGGACAGUGUAUGGUGGGCAGUUUGACUGGGGCGGUCUCCUCCUAAAGAGUAACGGAGGAGUACGAAGGUGCGCUCAGACCGGUCGGAAAUCGGUCGCAGAGUAUAAAGGCAAAAGCGCGCUUGACUGCGAGACAGACACGUCGAGCAGGUACGAAAGUAGGUCUUAGUGAUCCGGUGGUUCUGUAUGGAAGGGCCAUCGCUCAACGGAUAAAAGGUACUCCGGGGAUAACAGGCUGAUACCGCCCAAGAGUUCAUAUCGACGGCGGUGUUUGGCACCUCGAUGUCGGCUCAUCACAUCCUGGGGCUGAAGCCGGUCCCAAGGGUAUGGCUGUUCGCCAUUUAAAGUGGUACGCGAGCUGGGUUUAGAACGUCGUGAGACAGUUCGGUCCCUAUCUGCCGUGGACGUUUGAGAUUUGAGAGGGGCUGCUCCUAGUACGAGAGGACCGGAGUGGACGAACCUCUGGUGUUCCGGUUGUCACGCCAGUGGCAUUGCCGGGUAGCUAUGUUCGGAAAAGAUAACCGCUGAAAGCAUCUAAGCGGGAAACUUGCCUCAAGAUGAGAUCUCACUGGGAACUUGAUUCCCCUGAAGGGCCGUCGAAGACUACGACGUUGAUAGGCUGGGUGUGUAAGCGUUGUGAGGCGUUGAGCUAACCAGUACUAAUUGCCCGUGAGGCUUGACCAU